RNAcentral lists this long non-coding RNA (3153 nucleotides) under Callithrix jacchus (white-tufted-ear marmoset). RNAcentral describes it as "lncRNA (ENSCJAG00000076553.1)". Lineage: Eukaryota; Metazoa; Chordata; Mammalia; Primates; Cebidae. The record is from RNAcentral.
CUAGGUGAUGGGCUGAUAGGUGCAGUACACAUUUAUCCAGGUGCACGUUUACGUAAUGUAGCAGACCUGCACGUCCUGCACAGGUACCCAGGCGCACGUUUACGUAAUGUAACAGACCUGCACGUCCUGCACAGGUACCCAGGCGCACGCUUACGUAAUGUAACAGACCUGCACGUCCAGCACAGGUACCCAGGCGCACGCUUACGUAAUGUACCAGACCUGCACGUCCUGCACAGGUACCCAGGCGCACGCUUACGUAAUGUAAGAGACCUGCAGGUCCUGCACAGGUACCCAGGUGCACGCUUACGUAAUGUAAGAGACCUGCAGGUCCUGCACAGGUACCCAAGCGCACGUUUACGUAAUGUAAGAGACCUGCACGUCCUGCACAGGUACCCAGGCGCACGCUUACGUAAUGUAAGAGACCUGCACGUCCUGCACAGGUACCCAGGCGCACGUUUACUUAGUGUAACAGACCUGCACGUCCUGCACAGGUACCCAGGUGCACGUUUACGUAAUGUAAGAGACCUGCACGUCCUGCACAGGUACCCAGGCACACGCUUACGUAAUGUAACAGACCUGCACGUCCUGCACAGGUACCCAAGCGCACGUUUACGUAAUGUAAGAGACCUGCACGUCCUGCACAGGUACCCAGGCACACGCUUACGUAAUGUAACAGACCUGCACGUCCUGCACAGGUACCCAGGCGCACGCUUACGUAAUGUAAGAGACCUGCACGUCCUGCACAGGUACCCAGGCGCACGUUUACUUAGUGUAACAGACCUGCACGUCCUGCACAGGUACCCAAGCGCACGUUUACGUAAUGUAAGAGACCUGCACGUCCUGCACAGGUACCCAGGCGCACGUUUACUUAGUGUAACAGACCUGCACGUCCUGCACAGGUACCCAGGUGCACGUUUACUUAAUGUAGCAGACCUGCACGUCCUGCACAGGUACCCAGGCACAUGUUUACGUAAUGUAGCAGACCUGCACGUCCUGCACAGGUACCCAGGCGCACGUUUACUUAAUGUAACAGACCUGCACGUCCUGCACAGGUACCCAGGCGCACGUUUACGUAAUGUAACAGACCUGCACGUCCUGCACAGGUACCCAGGCACACGCUUACGUAAUGUAACAGACCUGCACGUCCUACACAGUUACCCAGGCACACGCUUACGUAAUGUAACAGACCUGCACGUCCUGCACAGGUACCCAGGCACAUGUUUACGUAAUGUAAGAGACCUGCACGUCCUGCACAGGUACCCAGGCACACGUUUACGUAAUGUAGCAGACCUGCACAUCCAGCACAGGUACCAAGGCGCACGUUUACUUAAUGUAACAAACCUGCACGUCCUGCACAGGUACCCAGGCACAUGUUUACGUAAUGUAGCAGACCUGCACGUCCUGCACAGGUACCCAGGCGCACGUUUACUUAAUGUAACAAACCUGCAGGUCCUGCACAGGUACCCAGGCACACGCUUACGUAAUGUAACAGACCUGCACGUCCUGCACAGGUACCCAGGCACAUGCUUACGUAAUGUAACAUACCUGCAGGUCCUGCACAGUUACCCAGGCGCACGCUUACGUAAUGUAACAGACCUGCACGUCCUGCACAGUUACCCAGGCGCACGCUUACGUAAUGUAACAGACCUGCACGUCCUGCACAGGUACCCAGGCACAUGCUUACGUAAUGUAACAGACCUGCACGUCCUGCACAGGUACCCAGGCGCACGUUUACGUAAUGUAAGAGACCUGCAGGUCCUGCACAGGUACCCAGGUGCACGCUUACGUAAUGUAACAGACCUGCACGUCCUGCACAGGUACCCAGGCACAUGCUUACGUAAUGUAGCAGACCUGCACGUCCUGCACAGGUACCCAGGCACAUGUUUACGUAAUGUAGCAGACCUGCACGUCCCGCACAGUUACCCAGGCGCACGCUUACGUAAUGUAACAGACCUGCACGUCCUGCACAGGUACCCAGGCACAUGUUUACGUAAUGUAGCAGACCUGCACGUCCCGCACAGUUACCCAGGCGCACGCUUACGUAAUGUAACAGACCUGCACGUCCUGCACAGUUACCCAGGCGCACGCUUACGUAAUGUAACAGACCUGCACGUCCUGCACAGGUACCCAGGCACAUGUUUACGUAAUGUAGCAGACCUGCACGUCCCGCACAGUUACCCAGGCGCACGCUUACGUAAUGUAACAGACCUGCACGUCCAGCACAGGUACCCAGGCACAUGCUUACAUAAUGUAACAGACCUGCACGUCCUACACAGUUACCCAGGCGCACGCUUACGUAAUGUAACAGACCUGCACGUCCUACACAGUUACCCAGGCGCACGCUUACGUAAUGUAACAGACCUGCACGUCCUGCACAGGUACCCAGGCACACGCUUACGUAAUGUAACAGACCUGCACGUCCUGCACAGGUACCCAGGCACACGCUUACGUAAUGUAACAGACCUGCACGUCCUGCACAGGUACCCAGGCGCACGCUUACGUAAUGUAACAGACCUGCACGUCCUGCACAGUUACCCAGGUGCACGUUUACUUAAUGUAACAGACCUGCACGUCCUGCACAGUUACCCAGGCGCACGCUUACGUAAUGUAACAGACCUGCACGUCCUGCACAGGUACCCAGGCGCACGCUUACGUAAUGUAAGAGACCUGCACGUCCUGCACAGGUACCCAGGCACAUGCUUACAUAAUGUAACAGACCUGCACGUCCUACACAGUUACCCAGGCGCACGCUUACGUAAUGUAACAGACCUGCACGUCCUGCACAGGUACCCAGGCGCACGCUUACGUAAUGUAACAAACCUGCAGGUCCUGCACAGUUACCCAGGCACAUGCUUACAUAAUGUAACAGACCUGCACGUCCUGCACAGUUACCCAGGCACAUGCUUACAUAAUGUAACAGACCUGCACGUCCUGCACAGGUACCCAGGCGCACGCUUACGUAAUGUAACAGACCUGCACGUCCUGCACAGUUACCCAGGCACAUGCUUACAUAAUGUAACAGACCUGCACGUCCUGCACAGGUACCCAGGCGCACGCUCACAUAAUGUAACAGACCUGCACGCCCCUGUACAGGUGCCCUGGAACUUCAAAACAAACAUAAAUAAAUGGUGUGAAAGCUUACAGGUUUUCUGA